GCUUUGCAGUUAAAUUUUGGUUGACAACAUAUGGUAUUUUACUAAAGGCACAUUGACAAAAAUGAUUGAAAUGAGUGUGAUGUAAUUUUAACAACUUCUUUAUAUAUCAUGUAUAUAUAUCAUUAUGAAAAUUAAAUCAGAAAAAAAAUAGUCUUCUUUUACAUCUGUUUUUUCAUGCUUAUACUAUAUUAUAGUUCUAAUCGUCUGGGUGAUUUUACUUUUAGUUUUCAAUAUGUUCAAAAGAAU
RNAcentral lists this long non-coding RNA (246 nucleotides) under Mytilus galloprovincialis (Mediterranean mussel). The record is from RNAcentral. Lineage: Eukaryota; Metazoa; Mollusca; Bivalvia; Mytilida; Mytilidae.